Molecule: long non-coding RNA, 741 nt
Filed under: Nicotiana benthamiana
Lineage: Eukaryota; Viridiplantae; Streptophyta; Magnoliopsida; Solanales; Solanaceae
Description: long non-coding RNA (NBEN_LNC020196)
Source: RNAcentral
UUAGAUCAAAGCUUAUUUAUUACCAGUCGGUUCCUUAAUUAAAGGGAACCUUCUCCUUAAUUGUGUAUGAUUGGUACUGUUGAAUAUUUUUUUAUUUCCAGCCGGUUCCUUAAUUAAAGGGAACCUUCUCCUUAAUUGUGUAUAAUUGGUACUGAUGAAUAUUUUCUUGCCUUAAGUGUUGCAUCUCUUUCAAACUAUUAAUAGGCCUUCACUUAUUCUCACUAACAACAACAAUACACGAGUUCCCUCUACUCUUACUCACUAAAAACUCUCUGCAUUUCUCUUUUCUUCUCUGUUACUUGCUCUCUAUAGCUAAGGAUUAGCCGGCUAAAAGCCAAGGCCGAUUAUAAGGUUUGUCUUUGCUUUGUUUCUCAAGUUUAAACUCGUAGGCUCCUAAUUUCAAUUAUUAACCUCCAACUAUCUGUUUGUUUUCCCCUUUCUUUUUUUUUUGUUAUGUUAUUUCAACUUAAGCUCUUGCAUGUUUAAUCCCUUCCCUUGUCCCCUUGUCUGUUUGUUUGUUUCAGUAUUUCAUUUGAGUGCUAGCAUGCUUAAUUCCCUCUCCCUUUCCCUAGGCUGUUAUGCUUUUUCAGUUUAAGCUCUAACAUGUUUUAUCCCCUUUUCCCUGGUUACCUCACCUAUUUUGUGUAUCUCAGUUAAGAUUUAUGAUAGUUCCCUUCCCCUUGUUCCCUUGUCUGAUUGUGCUCAAAUCCGGCAGGAUAAUCCUUAACCCUGCUCCUUGUC